RNAcentral lists this ribosomal RNA (2201 nucleotides) under Triticum aestivum (bread wheat). Its description in RNAcentral is "partial small subunit ribosomal RNA". The record is from RNAcentral. Lineage: Eukaryota; Viridiplantae; Streptophyta; Magnoliopsida; Poales; Poaceae.
AGAGAGAUUAUUCUGAGCUCGCUCUGAUGACCUCUCCUCCCUUUGUUCACCAGCGGGUACCUGCGGCGCCGCCUCGGAGACGACGGCGUUGGCCGUUGGCGGCACCUGGUGGAGCCGGCAGGUCAGAGGGCGGAUUGGAGGCCCGCCACCGGGCGGCGCGAGAAGUAGUAGCCAUGUCGUUCCGUUGUCGUUCCGUUAGCCGGCGUGAGAGCAGAGCUAGGAGAAACUGGGCCCACAGCAGCCAUGGCGUCCCCACCUCUAGAGUCUCGCCAAGCGGAUGCCGCCGUAGCGUCCCUUGGAGUAGUGGAUGGACUGGCCGGGCGACCCCGUCAGGUGCCGCAGCCGGCGGCGCCGGUAGUUGCGGACCUCGCCGCGGCGUGAAGACGACGGCAACGAGCCUCGGCGGCAGCGGCUAAGGACCGAGCCGGCAAUGGCGUGACAUCAUACGCGGAGGGACGAGAUAUAGGACCCGGACCCGUACGAGUGUGAUAGUAGUUAAGAACGCGGUGUUGUUGGUCGUGUUAAACCUCUAGUGUACCUAAGGCGAAAUAGGAGCUGAAGUUGUUAAGUAAAUCGAAAGAAGAUGCACAGGGACAUAUAACACCGGAAACGAGUUCCACCGGUGUUUGGAACACACGUUCGUAAACCCCGUCUGGUUAAACUACUCUUGCUAGGACUUCUUAAACGGAGCUCUUCAAGGAAGAAGUUAACCACCAUAAAACCCUGCAUACGUCCGUCGCAACAAUGUCAAAGUUAGGACUUAAUGUAAGUUCUAUUGUAUUCGACCGUCAAACCCAAACCUUAGGGAACGUAGCAAUACUGGGAAAGAGAACGUCAAAAGACCGAACCCUGGUCCUGAAUAGCUAAAAUAGGACAUUCUUCACUACCUUCGGAUUAACCUGUCCAACAGUUUGUGUAAAAUAGUAACCAAUCUUGGACCGUACGUAGUACCUCAAGCCCCAGUAGACUACUAAGGGUGACGUACGGUUGUAGCAGUAGAUCGUCUGAGUUCCUAUUACGUCUUUACUGUACAAAGGGACUACUUCGGUUCAGAGACGAAUUUAACAAAGGUUAUCCCCGUUGGACGGACUAGAUACGUCAACAAAAACGGGUCACCUACUGCGACAAGUGAUUUGUUCGUUCAUGUGAUCUAUCCACCUAUCCAUCGAAUGUCCAUGGUCGACGACGAGAUGUUUCGGAUUAGUCACACAGUUAGCAGUAGAGCUAAGGAUAUAUACUGGCCUAUGAACAAGGUGAUCGAUCUUUUAUGAGUUUCUUGGGAACACCAUAGUGUUGGAACGUUUCCUAACCUUGACCUGAUCGGUACAGACACUAGAACUACCAACAGCGCCGGUAGCACCUCUACUCUUCCGAGUCCCAUCGUUCUCUUGUACCGGAACACCUGUUAGGGCUUCGUUGCUAAGGCUACUCGAAAACCACCCACCAUGGAGUCAAGCAGGACUGACCGAACCGCCUGUACAAGUGGUACCAGCCGAACGUCCUCAAGAAGAUGCUGGUUCACGGCCUAUCGGACGCGUCAAACCCGGAACGGAAUAUGAACUCGUAUAAGCCUUAACCCUCGAAGUAGUCACCGAAAGACCACAUACGUUAGCUGGCCCAUUGGUCACUGCCACCUCUAGCAACCAAGAGCUUGUUAGAUUUGGCUCCAGUAGAACUAAUGAAAAUGACCGAAGACCGGCGCGAGUCGCAACAGCCCGACCGACGAAUGGAGGUGAAAAGUGUUCACAUACAGGGGUUCUUCUUCCCGUAAAGUCGUCUUACUACCAUACGCGGUUCACUGACGGUUGACUCUACGGACUUUAGGUACUUAGGUACAGACGGUUGACCAUACGCUUCGAAAGAGAUCCGACAACAUGAAGCAUUUAUCCGCUGCAGUGGUGACAUUCGACACCGCUAAAGUGUCACACUAACAAAAAAAAAAAAAACUCCGUAGUGUCACACUAACAACUCAGGCCUUCAAAAGUGACGCGCAGUCACAGGACUCCACACUACAGCCAAACGUUCGGGUUGACAACAUGAUUCGCCGGCACUUUAGUUAAAUAUCGAUUACAAUCUCAUCAGUAAUACCAUAUGCUGAAGAUCAGGUUCAGUCAAAACAUAGGGAUGGGGUUCAGCCAAACAUGGGAGAAUAUAUGAGAACAUACGGCGUAGUUUAGUAGUUAUUCGUUGUCAAAAUAAGU